This 168-nucleotide non-coding RNA is filed under the name Halalkalibacterium halodurans. RNAcentral's name for it is "Bacillus halodurans GlcN6P sequence". It matches the Rfam family "glmS glucosamine-6-phosphate activated ribozyme aptamer". Rfam says of the family: This entry contains a glucosamine-6-phosphate activated ribozyme that is found in the mRNA for GlmS. GlmS is an enzyme that uses fructose-6-phosphate and glutamine to generate glucosamine-6-phosphate. Lineage: Bacteria; Bacillati; Bacillota; Bacilli; Caryophanales; Bacillaceae. RNAcentral also lists the same sequence under 1 other name. The record is from RNAcentral.
AUGACAGUUGAAGCGCCAGGACUAUUCCACGGACGGUAACGGAAUAGUUGACGAGGAGAGGGUUUAUCGAAGGUUCGGCGGAUGCCCUCCGGUUGCACAUGACAGCCGCAAGCUUUUGUAAAAAACAGAGGGGCGACCUUCUGGACAAAGGCAAAAGCGUUCAUGCUA